Long non-coding RNA from Alligator mississippiensis (American alligator), 1993 nucleotides. RefSeq lists it as uncharacterized. Lineage: Eukaryota; Metazoa; Chordata; Crocodylia; Alligatoridae. The transcript has 3 exons. The record is from RefSeq and is a predicted model, not a curated record.
GGACCCUGGGAUUGGAGGAGGGGGCUGAGCAGCCUCCAUUUUGGAUCCAGACCCUCAGGGCUGAGGUAGCAGUCUGCUGCUGGCAGCUGGAAAGACCACCUGACUGAGCUGCUGCUUGGAACAUCUUGGAGCUGACUGGCUAGUCAGGACAGAUGGUACCUUCCUGAUGAAGCAGCCGAGAGAGAAAGAUUCAUGGGAUCAGAAGGAGAAUAAGAAAGGACUUCCUAGACUAGAGAGGAGGCUGAUACUUGCCAGGGGACAGAAACCCCAAACUAGAAUUGAAAACAGAGAAGAAUUGUAUCCUGUCUUUCAUCAGAUCCUGGGAAAGAGAAUCCUGGAGAUUCAAGGAAUCCUAGAAAUCUGAGAAGAUUCGGAAAGAAGAACAGGAAGUCCCAAAGGAAUGAUUCUCAGGAAAAACUGAAGAGUCUGUUUCUUAAGUAUAGCUGAGAGGUACACUCUACUGACAUAACUUCUUCAGAACAUUAGCAUGAUAAUAAAGAGAUUGAUUUUAAAUUGCUAUAUCAUCCAAUGGACAAAGAUAGAAAUAUAUAGAUUUUUUUUUUUAACCAUUUCAUUUAUUUGUCACUAAAUGGAGACCUGUAAAAAAAGAAACAAGUUAGCUGAUCCAGCAGACAAAGGGCUCUUGUGCAUUUUUACAAUGGAACUUUCAUAUGGGUUUUGCUAGCAAUAAUUACAAUAGGAACAUCCAUUAUAUGUACUCUGUUGUCAGGGAGUGAGGGGAAGGGGACUGAAUGCAUAUUUUUGUGUUUGAAGAAAUCAGUUCUAGGCACAGAGGAAAGCAUUCUCCAAUCCCUGGGUGGAAUUUUAUUCACUAAGUUUUCCAAGUUGUGGUGCCAAAUAAUGGGGUGGAAUGGCUGACUCAUCUGUGGGAUUUAUGCUGCCAUUACCAGUGACCACUGAAACACUGUAGGAUAAUUAGAGGGAUAAGCAAAUAAAGCAAAAAGUUAGUCACAUAGGACAGCUUCAUUUACAAUGAACUGGUUUUAUCCUUCAUGCCCUCCAUGCGGUGCAGGAAACUCCCAUUAAAUUUAUUUGGAAUUCUGCACAUGUAGACCUGCAAAGCCAAACUCGGUGUCUAAUAUUAUGGUAAUAGGGAAUCUCCAAAUAAAUCCAUUUAUUUCCAUAAGCUCAACUUCAGUGACUAAUGCAGUAGAAAAAAUCCUGGACAAACCUCCUCAAGCUAUUUGAGUCCAGUGUAUCCUACCCUUUGAUUCACCCUACUGUGAAAAAUCCCCACAUGGCAUAAAGCUAGCAUAGUAACAUCUGACUAACUCAUCUCAUUGUAUAUAUGUGUAUAUCAUCUAUAGCCAUGUACUGUUGGUACAUUUAUUCUAACUUCAAAUCAGUUAUUUGCCUCAUACAGAUUCAGAGACUAAAGAAGCAUGCACUCUUAGAAGCAAUAACAACCAACACACAGGCUGCACAUUGUAUAUCAUUCCCCCCUUAACACUAUAGAGACUAACCCAAAUGCUUAGUAAAAAUAGGAGUAAAGCUUUUUUCACAGGAAAUUGCAUUAUUUUCUUUUUUCACACGAUAGAUUCUAAACAACUCAUAUAUUAAAGGUGCUUUAUAUUUUUUUUUAAUAAUUAUAAACUAAAUAUUGUUAUGUGUAGUAAGAGCAGGGACAGGUAUAUAUAAACCAAAAGAAAAAGACCUCCCUCCCAACCCCCGCCUCCAAAAACAAAAAACAAAGAACCCCCCUAAAACAUAGACUCCAACCUCACUUUCCCCCCUCAAAGUUUAUAUAGUGAGCUUAAAAAUCUUAGUCUUCAUCUCCAUAUCUACAGUUCCUCCCUCCCAGUUCCCAUUUAGUAGAUUGGGUACAUGAUGCUACAAAAGUGUUGAUUGCAGCAUAUAGCUUGAUAAUACUUUAUGUAAUCCAUCAAGUUCAUUAAGGAGUCUUUGUAAAGCAGAUCAUUCCAAGUAUUUCUAGUGGUUUAUCUUCAGUGUUGUCUUUGCUCCAAAACCAAUU